GUGAAACGCCGUAGCGCCGAUGGUAGUGUGGGGUCUCCCCAUGCGAGAGUAGGGAACUGCCAGGCAU
This 67-nucleotide ribosomal RNA is filed under the name Escherichia coli IS9. RNAcentral's name for it is "5S RNA". Lineage: Bacteria; Pseudomonadati; Pseudomonadota; Gammaproteobacteria; Enterobacterales; Enterobacteriaceae. RNAcentral also lists the same sequence under 1 other name. The record is from RNAcentral.